This 70-nucleotide transfer RNA is filed under the name Pediculus humanus corporis (human body louse). Its description in RNAcentral is "tRNA-Lys". Lineage: Eukaryota; Metazoa; Arthropoda; Insecta; Psocodea; Pediculidae. RNAcentral also lists the same sequence under 1 other name. The record is from RNAcentral.
AAUUGUAUAGCUUAUUACUAAUAGAGCGUUGUGUUUUUAGCGCAAGAGGAAACUUAGCAGUUUACAGUUA